Molecule: long non-coding RNA, 2792 nt
Organism: Nematostella vectensis (starlet sea anemone)
Lineage: Eukaryota; Metazoa; Cnidaria; Anthozoa; Actiniaria; Edwardsiidae
Exons: 2
Source: RefSeq, a predicted model, not a curated record
CGAAUAUGAGUUGUUGGAGUGAGACAGGGUUCUGGAGUUGGAUGAAGAUGAAAAGGGUCUGGGGCUAGCAUGGGAGGGUAGGAGAAUAAAAAGCAGGGCCUGUGUAAAAGUGAAUUGGGAAUCGGAGUAGUGGCGCAGUAUGCUGAAGCUGAUAAGAUAAGGUGGAUGGGUGUUGUGGUGAAGUGGAUAGAGGAGGACAGAGUUAGAUAGAUGGGUAGGAAUCAGAAAUGUAGUGGUGAAGUGAAUAGAAGAUGAUAGAGUUGGGUAGAUGAAUAGGAAUCAGAAGAGUAGUGGUGAAGUGGAAAGAAGAUUAUAGAGUGGGAUGGAUGGGUAGGAAUUGGAAGAGUAGUGGUGAAGUGAAUAGAAGAUGAUAGAGUGGGAUGGAUGGGUAGGGAUUGGAAGAGUAGUGGUGAAGUAAAUAGAAGAUGAUAGAGUUGGGUAGAUGAAUAGGAAUCGGAAGAGUAGUGGUGAAGUGGAUAGAAGAUUAUAGAGUGGGACGGAUGGGUAGGAAUUGGAAGAGUAGUGGUGAAGUGAAUAGAAGAUGAUAGAGUUGGGUAGAUGAAUAGGAAUCGAAAGAGUAGUGGUGAGGUGGAUAGAAGAUUAUAGAGUGGGAUGGAUGGGUAGGAAUUGGAAGAGUAGUGGUGAAGUGAAUAGAAGAUGAUAGAGUUGGGUAGAUGAAUAGGAAUCGGAAGAGUAGUGGUGCAGAGAAUAGAAGAUGAUAGAGUGGGAUGGAUGGGUAGGAAUUGGAAGAGUAGUGGUGCAGUGAAUAGAAGAUGAUAGAGUGGGAUGGAUGGGUAGGAAUUGGAAGAGUAGUGGUGAAGUAAAUAGAAGAUGAUAGAGUUGGGUAGAUGAAUAGGAAUCGGAAGAGUAGUGGUGAAGUGGAUAGAAGAUUAUAGAGUGGGAUGGAUGGGUAGGAAUUGGAAGAGUAGUGGUGAAGUGAAUAGAAGAUGAUAGAGUUGGGUAGAUGAAUAGGAAUCAAAAGAGUAGUGGUGAAGUGGAUAGAAGAUUAUAGAGUGGGAUGGAUGGGUAGGAAUUGGAAGAGUAGUGGUGAAGUGAAUAGAAGAUGAUAGAGUGGGAUGGAUGGGUAGGGAUUGGAAGAGUAGUGGUGAAGUAAAUAGAAGAUGAUAGAGUUGGGUAGAUGAAUAGGAAUCGGAAGAGUAGUGGUGAAGUGGAUAGAAGAUUAUAGAGUGGGACGGAUGGGUAGGAAUUGGAAGAGUAGUGGUGAAGUGAAUAGAAGAUGAUAGAGUUGGGUAGAUGAAUAGGAAUCGAAAGAGUAGUGGUGAGGUGGAUAGAAGAUUAUAGAGUGGGAUGGAUGGGUAGGAAUUGGAAGAGUAGUGGUGAAGUGAAUAGAAGAUGAUAGAGUUGGGUAGAUGAAUAGGAAUCGGAAGAGUAGUGGUGCAGAGAAUAGAAGAUGAUAGAGUGGGAUGGAUGGGUAGGAAUUGGAAGAGUAGUGGUGCAGUGAAUAGAAGAUGAUAGAGUGGGAUGGAUGGGUAGGAAUUGGAAGAGUAGUGGUGAAGUAAAUAGAAGAUGAUAGAGUUGGGUAGAUGAAUAGGAAUCGGAAGAGUAGUGGUGAAGUGGAUAGAAGAUUAUAGAGUGGGAUGGAUGGGUAGGAAUUGGAAGAGUAGUGGUGAAGUAAAUAGAAGAUGAUAGAGUUGGGUAGAUGAAUAGGAAUCGGAAGAGUAGUGGUGAAGUGGAUAGAAGAUUAUAGAGUGGGAUGGAUGGGUAGGAAUUGGAAGAGUAGUGGUGAAGUGAAUAGAAGAUGAUAGAGUGGGAUGGAUGGGUAGGGAUUGGAAGAGUAGUGGUGAAGUAAAUAGAAGAUGAUAGAGUUGGGUAGAUGAAUAGGAAUCGGAAGAGUAGUGGUGAAGUGGAUAGAAGAUUAUAGAGUGGGACGGAUGGGUAGGAAUUGGAAGAGUAGUGGUGAAGUGAAUAGAAGAUGAUAGAGUUGGGUAGAUGAAUAGGAAUCGAAAGAGUAGUGGUGAGGUGGAUAGAAGAUUAUAGAGUGGGAUGGAUGGGUAGGAAUUGGAAGAGUAGUGGUGAAGUGAAUAGAAGAUGAUAGAGUUGGGUAGAUGAAUAGGAAUCGAAAGAGUAGUGGUGCAGAGAAUAGAAGAUGAUAGAGUGGGAUGGAUGGGUAGGAAUUGGAAGAGUAGUGGUGAAGUGAAUAGAAGAUGAUAGAGUUGGGUAGAUGAAUAGGAAUCGGAAGAGUAGUGGUGAAGUGGAUAGAAGAUUAUAGAGUGGGAUGGAUGGGUAGGAAUUGGAAGAGUAGUGGUGAAGUGAAUAGAAGAUGAUAGAGUUGGGUAGAUGAAUAGGAAUCGGAAGAGUAGUGGUGCAGAGAAUAGAAGAUUAUAGAGUGGGAUGGAUGGGUAGGAAUUGGAAGAGUAGUGGUGCAGUGAAUAGAAGAUGAUAGAGUGGGAUGGAUGGGUAGGAAUUGGAAGAGUAGUGGUGAAGUGGAUAGAAGAUUAUAGAGUGGGAUGGAUGGGUAGGAAUUGGAAGAGUAGUGGUGAAGUGAAUAGAAGAUGAUAGAGUUGGGUAGAUGAAUAGGAAUCGGAAGAGUAGUGGUGAAGUGGAUAGAAGAUUAUAGAGUGGGACGGAUGGGUAGGAAUUGGAAGAGUAGUGGUGAAGUGAAUAGAAGAUGAUAGAGUUGGGUAGAUGAAUAGGAAUCGAAAGAGUAGUGGUGAGGUGGAUAGAAGAUUAUAGAGUGGGAUGGAUGGGUAGGAAUUGGAAGAGUAGUGGUGAAGUGAAUAGAAGAUGAUAGAGUUGGGUAGAUGAAUAGGAAUCGGAAGAGUAGUGGUGCA